This 397-nucleotide ribosomal RNA is filed under the name uncultured bacterium. RNAcentral describes it as "partial 16S ribosomal RNA". It matches the Rfam family "Bacterial small subunit ribosomal RNA", at positions 523 to 918 of the family's 1533-position model. The record is from RNAcentral.
AUACGUAGGUGGCAAGCGUUGUCCGGAAUUAUUGGGCGUAAAGCGCGCGCAGGCGGCCCUUUAAGUCUGAUGUGAAAGCCCACGGCUCAACCGCGGAGGGUCAUUGGAAACUGGGGGACUUGAGUGCAGAAGAGGAAAGUGGAAUUCCAAGUGUAGCGGUGAAAUGCGUAGAGAUUUGGAGGAACACCAGUGGCGAAGGCGGCUUUCUGGUCUGUAACUGACGCUGAGGCGCGAAGGCGUGGGGAGCAAACAGGAUUAGAUACCCUGGUAGUCCACGCCGUAAACGAUGAGUGCUAAGUGUUAGGGGGUUUCCGCCCCUUAGUGCUGCAGCUAACGCAUUAAGCACUCCGCCUGGGGAGUACGGUCGCAAGACUGAAACUCAAAUGAAUUGGCGGGG